Molecule: ribosomal RNA, 497 nt
Filed under: uncultured bacterium
Lineage: Bacteria
Description: partial 16S ribosomal RNA
Rfam family: Bacterial small subunit ribosomal RNA
Source: RNAcentral
GAUGAACGCUGGCGGCGUGCCUAAUACAUGCAAGUCGAGCGAACAGACGAGGAGCUUGCUCCUCUGACGUUAGCGGCGGACGGGUGAGUAACACGUGGAUAACCUACCUAUAAGACUGGGAUAACUUCGGGAAACCGGAGCUAAUACCGGAUAAUAUAUUGAACCGCAUGGUUCAAUAGUGAAAGACGGUUUUGCUGUCACUUAUAGAUGGAUCCGCGCUGCAUUAGCUAGUUGGUAAGGUAACGGCUUACCAAGGCGACGAUGCGUAGCCGACCUGAGAGGGGGGUCGGCCACACUGGAACUGAGACACGGUCCAGACUCCUAAGGGAGGCAGCAGUAGGGAAUCUUCCGCAAUGGGCGAAAGCCUGACGGAGCAACGCCGCGUGAGUGAUGAAGGUCUUCGGAUCGUAAAACUCUGUUAUUAGGGAAGAACAAAUGUGUAAGUAACUAUGCACGUCUUGACGGUACCUAAUCAGAAAGCCACGGCUAACUACGUG